GAUGAACGCUGGCGGCGUGCCUAAUACAUGCAAGUCGAGCGAACAGAUAAGGCGCUUGCUCCUUUGACGUUAGCGGCGGACGGGUGAGUAACACGUGGGUAACCUACCUAUAAGACUGGGAUAACUUCGGGAAACCGGAGCUAAUACCGGAUAACAUUUGGAACCGCAUGGUUCUAAAGUGAAAGAUGGCUUUGCUAUCACUUCUAGAUGGACCCGGGCCGUAUUAGCUAGUUGGUAAGGUAACGGCUUACCAAGGCGACGAUACGUAGCCGAGCGGAUAGGGGGAUCGGCGACCUGGGAAGGGGAACAGGGUCAAUGGGACUGAGGGAGGGAGCAGUAGGGAAUGGGCGGCAGUGGGCGAAAGCAUGACGGAGUGAGGGGGCGUGUGUGGUGAAGGGGUCCGGCGCGUGAAACCGGGUUAUUGGGUAAGAACAGAUGUGGAAGUAGCUGUACAGGGCGUGACGGUAACUGAUCAGAAAGCAACGGCUAACUACGUG
This 497-nucleotide ribosomal RNA is filed under the name uncultured bacterium. Its description in RNAcentral is "partial 16S ribosomal RNA". It matches the Rfam family "Bacterial small subunit ribosomal RNA", at positions 28 to 507 of the family's 1533-position model. The record is from RNAcentral.